CUUGUGGUAGCUCAGUGGUAGAGCACAUGUCUAGCAAACAUAAGCCCUAAGUUUGGUUCUCAGCUCUAACA
RNAcentral lists this transfer RNA (71 nucleotides) under Mesocricetus auratus (golden hamster). It matches the Rfam family "tRNA". Rfam says of the family: Transfer RNA (tRNA) molecules are approximately 80 nucleotides in length. Their secondary structure includes four short double-helical elements and three loops (D, anti-codon, and T loops). Lineage: Eukaryota; Metazoa; Chordata; Mammalia; Rodentia; Cricetidae. The record is from Rfam by way of RNAcentral.